Molecule: long non-coding RNA, 323 nt
Filed under: Mytilus galloprovincialis (Mediterranean mussel)
Lineage: Eukaryota; Metazoa; Mollusca; Bivalvia; Mytilida; Mytilidae
Source: RNAcentral
CGAAAAAUCUAUAUGAUGAUGAUGAUAAUGUGUAUGAUUGAAAAAAGUAAAUCACAAAUAUACUGAACUCCGAGGAAAAUUCAAAACGGAAGGUCCUGAAUCAGAUGGCAAAAGCUUAAACACAUCAAGCGAAUGGAUAACACCGUUUAUAUUCCUGACUUGGUACAGACGUUUCCUUAUGUUAACCUGGUUUUAUAGUUAGCCAAACCUCUCACCUGUAUGACAGUCGCAUCAUAUUACAUUAUAUUGACAGCGAUGCGUGAACAACACAAACAGACAUUAUAGGUAAAAAUGUCACAAAUUGGGGUAGAGCAGUCAACAUA